CACACAUCAAGAAAAACUACUGGGCAGCCCAGGGCUUUUCCUGGUCAAAGAGCUGGAUUCUUUCACGCAAGGCAUUCCUAGGACUGCUCAGCUUGCCCGAAGUGGAGAUGCAAAUGGAGCAUGUGGACCAAGCAGACAGAGGCAUGGGCCACCCACUCUCAGAGAUGUGGGAAAAUGAAUCGGAAUAACAAGAGAAAAUGAUUCCAAACAGAAGAGGAAAGUGACGAUGUGAUGAAAAGGAAAAGAGAUUGGGAUUUGAUGGAGAGUCACAAAGUCACAAUGAUGCGCUCUUUUUUAAUGGAUGAGGAAACUGGAGCUCAGGGUUUGAGUCACUGACCUAAGUGAUCACCAACUGCUGUGGCUCAGAGUGCCCUGCCGGAGGACCAAAAUAAUGAGUCCAAAUGGAUCUGCCUGACCUUGAACUGGAGCCUCCAAAAUUCUGAGCAUAAAUAAAAUGUUUUUCUCUAUAAGUUGCUUACGUCAGAGAUUUCUUUAUGGUGAUGGAAAGCAGACUAAUACAUCACCAGAGAAUGGUCAAUGGAUUGGUGAUACCCUGAUAAACAAUACUCAGUUUGUUCAAUACUGCAUCCUCAGCUCUUAACGUAGCAUUUGGUAGAUAGCAACCUCUAAUACAUC
Heterocephalus glaber (naked mole-rat) is the source of this 636-nucleotide long non-coding RNA. The record is from Ensembl. Lineage: Eukaryota; Metazoa; Chordata; Mammalia; Rodentia; Bathyergidae.